UACGGAGGGUGCAAGCGUUAUCCGGAUUCACUGGGUUUAAAGGGUGCGUAGGUGGGUCUGUAAGUCCGUGGUGAAAUCUCCGGGCUUAACUCGGAAAGGUCAACUGAUACUGUGCGACUAGAGUGCAGAAGGGGCAACUGGAAUUCUCGGUGUAGCGGUGAAAUGCGUAGAUAUCGAGAGGAACACCUGCGGCGAAGGCGGGUUGCUGGGCUGACACUGACGCUGAUGCGCGAAAGCCAGGGGAGCGAACGGG
Molecule: ribosomal RNA, 253 nt
Filed under: uncultured bacterium
Lineage: Bacteria
Description: partial 16S ribosomal RNA
Rfam family: Bacterial small subunit ribosomal RNA
Source: RNAcentral